CCCAGCUUGCUGGGUGGAUUAGUGGCGAACGGGUGAGUAACACGUGAGUAACCUGCCCUUAACUCUGGGAUAAGCCUGGGAAACUGGGUCUAAUACCGGAUAGGAGCGUCCACCGCAUGGUGGGUGUUGGAAAGAUUUAUCGGUUUUGGAUGGACUCGCGGCCUAUCAGCUUGUUGGUGAGGUAAUGGCUCACCAAGGCGACGACGGGUAGCCGGCCUGAGAGGGUGACCGGCCACACUGGGACUGAGACACGGCCCAGACUCCUACGGGAGGCAGCAGUGGGGAAUAUUGCACAAUGGGCGCAAGCCUGAUGCAGCGACGCCGCGUGAGGGAUGACGGCCUUCGGGUUGUAAACCUCUUUCAGUAGGGAAGAAGCGAAAGUGACGGUACCUGCAGAAGAAGCACCGGCUAACUACGUGCCAGCAGCCGCGGUAAUACGUAGGGUGCGAGCGUUAUCCGGAAUUAUUGGGCGUAAAGAGCUCGUAGGCGGUUUGUCGCGUCUGUCGUGAAAGUCCGGGGCUUAACCCCGGAUCUGCGGUGGGUACGGGCAGACUAGAGUGCAGUAGGGGAGACUGGAAUUCCUGGUGUAGCGGUGGAAUGCGCAGAUAUCAGGAGGAACACCGAUGGCGAAGGCAGGUCUCUGGGCUGUAACUGACGCUGAGGAGCGAAAGCAUGGGGAGCGAACAGGAUUAGAUACCCUGGUAGUCCAUGCCGUAAACGUUGGGCACU
This is a ribosomal RNA of 729 nucleotides. It matches the Rfam family "Bacterial small subunit ribosomal RNA", at positions 74 to 817 of the family's 1533-position model.